Molecule: ribosomal RNA, 758 nt
Filed under: uncultured Comamonadaceae bacterium
Lineage: Bacteria; Pseudomonadati; Pseudomonadota; Betaproteobacteria; Burkholderiales; Comamonadaceae
Description: bacterial SSU rRNA
Rfam family: Bacterial small subunit ribosomal RNA
Source: RNAcentral
AACGGCAGCACGGGGGCAACCCUGGUGGCGAGUGGCGAACGGGUGAUUAAUACAUCGGAACGUGCCCAGUCGUGGGGGAUAACGUAGCGAAAGCUACGCUAAUACCGCAUACGAACUCUGGUUGAAAGCGGGGGAUCGCAAGACCUCGCGCGAUUGGAGCGGCCGAUGACAGAUUAGGUAGUUGGUGGGGUAAAGGCUCACCAAGCCGACUAUCUGUAGCUGGUCUGAGAGGACGACCAGCCACACUGGGACUGAGACACGGCCCAGACUCCUACGGGAGGCAGCAGUGGGGAAUUUUGGACAAUGGGCGCAAGCCUGAUCCAGCCAUUCCGCGUGCAGGAUGAAGGCCCUCGGGUUGUAAACUGCUUUUGUACGGAACGAAAAGGCUCUGGUUAAUACCUGGGGCUCAUGACGGUACCGUAAGAAUAAGCACCGGCUAACUACGUGCCAGCAGCCGCGGUAAUACGUAGGGUGCAAGCGUUAAUCGGAAUUACUGGGCGUAAGCGUGCGCAGGCGGUGAUGUAAGACAGGUGUGAAAUCCCCGGGGCUUAACGUGGGAACUGCAUUUGUGACUGCAUCGCUGGAGUGCGGCAGAAGGGGGAUGGAAUUCCGCGUGUAGCAGUGAAAUUGCGUAGAUUUGCGGAGGAACCCCGAUGGCGAAGGCAAUCCCCUGGGGCUGCACUGACGCUCAUGCACAAAAGCGUGGGGGAGCAAACAGGAUUAGAUACCCUGGUUAGUCCACGCCCUAAACCGAUGUC